Long non-coding RNA from Capra hircus (goat), 1672 nucleotides. RefSeq lists it as uncharacterized. NCBI's taxonomy places the organism in Eukaryota, Metazoa, Chordata, Mammalia, Artiodactyla, Bovidae. The transcript has 5 exons. The record is from RefSeq and is a predicted model, not a curated record.
CCACCCCUCCUCAGGUACCUGUCACUGUAGGCGGCUGCAGCUGCUGCUGGCUGAGCGUAUCUGUAGGCGGCAUAGCCUCCCUGCAAGGGAUACAGGAGAACCACCCAUGGCCCCCAUCAUACAACUGACACCUUGUGAAAUGGAGAAGACACGCCUGGCUCGUCGUGCUGCGGGGAAUCCUUUACUGCUGCCACCCUGAGCCGGGAUAACCCAGGGCUGCACUUACAUAAAUCUCAGCACCAUAAAAGCCAUCCUGAUACACGACCCUGGAAGCAAACGGACAAGAAAGUGGUGGGAACGCUGGAGAGAUGAGCAAAUAGAGGUUCACAGAGGCACGGCAGCCUCCAGUUACAGGGCUGAUAGUAACACCCGGUCAAACCUGGAGAGUUUUGUUUCCUGAAGUGGAAACUUCUGCCCCUCUGACCGAACGGUGAAUUUGAGUCCUCCAGAGCGUUAAGCAAAGUCAAGCCUUGGUCAGCAGAGCCCACGAGCUGGGCCUCGCAGCCACCUGUGAUUGCCGCCAAAGUGGGCAGAGGUUUCUUCCUCUCUUCACUCUCUGUUGUUUAACUGGCUUCGGUUCUGUGCCCAUCCGUGCCAAGGAUGCAGUCACUGAGGGAUGGAUUCCCUCCUGAAUCCCAUGCUCCUUGGCACCCUCAGGUAUGCCAGACAGCAGAGGGGUGUGGCUCUCAGGAGGGGCUGUGCAGCCCCCAGGGUCACCCUGACCCUGUAAACAUGUCUACGGCUUCCCUUCCUGCACUGAGAACCAGGUCUCUAAAGUCACACCCAGUACAGGCCCAGCACAGGUGCAAAGCCUGGGAGCCUCCAGAGGUUUAGAAAGAAUUUGAGCUUUGUUAUCCUCAAAAAAGCACACAUGUAUACCUAUGGCUGAUUCACAUUGAUGUAUGACCGAAACCAACACAAUAUUGUAAACCAAUUAUCCUUCAAUUAAAAAAAAAAAAAACCAGGAUGGGAGUGACAAUAAUCUCGUCUAAAUGGAGUCUGGCCAGAGCCCCAGCCCUACUCCAGGAGGUCAGGUGAGGGGCCUGGGCUGGUGGGUCAGGUGGUAGGUCUGCCCACAGUCCUGGCACAGGCUUUCUGUGCUGGCCCGUCCCCUGAUUCCAUGCACAUCUGAUCAGACCGGGACAAGCGAGUCUUGGGGUGGCUUGGUCCACUCUUUCCUGCUGGGGAUUGGGGGGUGGGAAGCAAAGCUGAAAGACCCAUCCUGACGGAGCGAGGCUGCUGCUCCCUGGCAAGAGGUGCGAACUCAAAAAGGCUCCAACGAGGUGCCAGCUACAUUCAAACCAGUUCCUUGCCCGGUGAAGUUAAGGCACAGGGUGGCCAGCCGAGAGCUGUCCUUCCACUGCUCCCAGCUGCCAGCAUUUAGCAUCGGCAGUUUCGUUUCAAAGACGGGUCACCUCUGCUUACAGUCAGGUCCAGGUAGGUAUGGGCAAGGCCGCUUGGCUAACUGGGCCUCAACCUUUCAGUGUUUCAAAGGCCGGGGGUUGGGGGAAGGCGACUGUCCAUCUGUCAUCACACUCAUUAAAAUACUGAACACCUCUAGCCUGGGCUUCCCUCGGUGCUUAGAAAAUAAGCAACAAUCCAGGAAGUGGCCACCUUCCCCCUGCGCCUGAAGCCUGCCCUUGGCCUCUGGGUGCUGGACACCCCACGGGGA